GUGUGGUUAUUUAAGGGCGUAUGGUGGAUGCCUUGACACAAAACAGCGAUGAAGGACGCGGCGUAGCGGCGAUACGCCUCGGGGAGGUGCGUAGCAACCUUUGAUCCGGGGAUUUCCAAAUGGGGCAACCUGGCACGGCAAACCCGUGUCGUCCGGUCGUAAGACUGGAAGCACACCUGCUGAAGUGAAACAUCUCAGUAAGCAGAGGAAGAGAGAACGAAGUCAUUCCCCAAGUAGCGGCGAGCGAAAAGGGAGAAGCCUAAACCCAUUACCCGCAAGGGUGGUGGGGGUUGUAAGAUAUGUACGCUGCUAAAAAGCGCAGGUCGAUGCGGAGAAGGAAACUUUUCCGUACCGAUCUGUGCUUCAGGCAAGGAAAGGUUACAAAAUCUUUUGCUAGCAGAAUCGGCUGGAAAGCCGAACCAGAGAGGGUGAAAGUCCUGUACGCGAAAGCGAAAGAUCCUUUUAGUAUGUAGUCUUGAGUACUUCGAGUUACGAUAAUCUUGAAGGAAACAUCCCGGACUAUCGGGAAAGGCUAAAUAUGUUUUGUGAUCGAUAGUGAACAAGUACCGUGAGGGAAAGGUGAAAAGCAGCCCUGUUAGGGCGGUGAAAUAGACCUGAAACCGUACGCCUACAAGGAACGGAAGCUCAAAUCUUUGUCCGCAAGGACAAGGGCGAGUAACCGUGUGCCUAUUGAAGAAUGAUCCAACGAGUUUAUGCAUAUCGCGUAGUCUAAUCUGUCUCUGACGGAGAAGGCGCAGGGAAACCUAGUGUUAAUAGCGCGAAAAUCCAGCAAUGGAUUUUGGCGGUAUGUGUAAGACCCGAAGCCAGGCGAGCUUACCUUGACCAGGGUGAACUUCGACGAAAGUCGAAGGGAGGCCCGAACCGGUUGGUCGUGCAACACCUUCGGAUGAGUUGAGGUAAGAAGUGAAAAGCUAAUCGAGCCUGGUAAUAGCUGGUUCUCUUCGAAACAGUUUUAGGACUGGCGUCGCGUGUUUCCUUUUGGGGGUAGAGCACUGGAUGGUCUGUAAAGGGCGAAAGCUCAGCAGACCAAUCAAACUCCGAAUACCAGAAGGUUAAGCGCGGCAGUUAGACUGCGGGGGCUAAGCUCCGUGGUCGAGAGGGAAACAGCCCUGACCGCCAUCUAAGGUCCCUAAAUCUGCGCUAAGUGUAAAAGGUGGUCGUAGACCAUAGACAGGUAGGAGGUUGGCUUAGAGGUAGCCAUCCUUUAAAGAGUGUGUAACAACUCACUACUCGAUGGUAAGCGGCGCCGAAAAUUUACCGGGGCUCAAGCGCAGUACCGAAGAUGCGGAUCGACACUUUCUUUUUGUAUCGGGCGAUUUCAGUUUGGCCUGGUAUAAAGAGAAUGUGUUGGUGGUAGAAGAGCAUUUCCAGUGCGGUGAAGGUCAACCCGGGAGGGUGACUGGAGCGCUGGGAAGAGAGAAUGUUGGAAUGAGUAACCCACUAAGCCGGUGAGAAACCGGCUCCCCGAAAAUCCAAGGUUUCCGUGGCAAUGGCAAUCAGCUACGGGUUAGGCGGCCCUAAGGCGAUGGCGAAAGCCGAAGCUGAUGGACAGCUGGUUAAUAAUCCAGCCCUUCCGUGCAUUUCGAUGGAGGGACGAGGCGCAGUACGCCGAUCAUCUUAUUGGUUUGGUGUUCUUGGCUCGAGGAUGGUGUUUUGGCAAAUCCGGACACCUGCGUUCAAUCGCGAAUCCCAGAGCAAAGGCGAGUCGGAGUUUUUACUCCGGUUAGUCGGCUGAGCGCGUUUCCGAGAAAAACUUCUAAGGUUAAGUGCAUGGAAUCCGUACCGUAAACCGACACUGGUGGAUAGGGCGAGUAGCCCGAGGGGUACGAGUGAUUUCUCGUCAAGGAACUCGGCAAAAAAGCGGCCGUAAGUUAGCGAUAAGGCCUCUCAAUACUUUCUUUUCGCAAGAAAAGAUAGUGCUGGGCGCAGCGAAAGUAUCUCUGGCAACUGUUUACCAAAAACACAGCUCCCUGCGAACUCGCAAGAGGAUGUAUAGGGGGUGACGCCUGACCGAUGCGAGAAGGUUAAGAUUGGCGGUCUGUGGUAGUAAUAUUGCAGGCUGACUGGUUCAAG
Molecule: ribosomal RNA, 2094 nt
Filed under: Patescibacteria group bacterium
Lineage: Bacteria
Description: partial 23S ribosomal RNA
Rfam family: Bacterial large subunit ribosomal RNA
Source: RNAcentral